AUACUUACCUGGCCCCGGAGCGUCCAUGAGCACGAAGGUGGCUUCCCCAGACCCAGGCUUAUCCACUGCCCUUCAGAGGAUGUGCUGACCCCUGCGACUUCCUCAAAUUUGGGAAACUCAACUGCAUGGUUUGUGGUAGUGGGGGACUGCGUUUGCAUCCCCAC
Alexandromys fortis (reed vole) is the source of this 164-nucleotide small nuclear RNA. RefSeq annotates it as U1 spliceosomal RNA. Lineage: Eukaryota; Metazoa; Chordata; Mammalia; Rodentia; Cricetidae. The transcript has a single exon. The record is from RefSeq and is a predicted model, not a curated record.